RNAcentral lists this ribosomal RNA (305 nucleotides) under uncultured bacterium. RNAcentral describes it as "bacterial SSU rRNA". It matches the Rfam family "Bacterial small subunit ribosomal RNA", at positions 335 to 657 of the family's 1533-position model. The record is from RNAcentral.
CGGCCUACGGGGCGCAGCAGUGGGGAAUAUUGCACAAUGGGGGAAACCCUGAUGCAGCGACGCCGCGUGAGUGAAGAAGUAUUUCGGUAUGUAAAGCUCUAUCAGCAGGGAAGAUAAUGACGGUACCUGACUAAGAAGCCCCGGCUAACUACGUGCCAGCAGCCGCGGUAAUACGUAGGGGGCAAGCGUUAUCCGGACUUACUGGGUGUAAAGAGAGCGUAGACGGCAGCGCAAGUCUGGAGUGAAAUGCCGGGGCCCAACCCCGGAACUGCUCUGGAAACUGUGAAGCUGGAGUGCAGGAGAGG